GUUAACGGCCACGCCACGUUGAAAGCACCAGUUCCUGUUCGAUCACUGAAGUUAAGCAACGUUGGGCACAGUCGGAACUCGGUUGAGUUCCCGCCGUGUACUGUUGUCU
RNAcentral lists this ribosomal RNA (109 nucleotides) under Ooceraea biroi (clonal raider ant). The record is from RNAcentral. Lineage: Eukaryota; Metazoa; Arthropoda; Insecta; Hymenoptera; Formicidae.